UGGGGAAUAUUGCGCAAUGGGGGGAACCCUGACGCAGCCAUGCCGCGUGAAUGAAGAAGGCCUUAGGGUUGUAAAGUUCUUUCGGUAUUGAGGAAGGUUGAUGUGUUAAUAGCACAUCAAAUUGACGUUAAAUACAGAAGAAGCACCGGCUAACUCCGUGCCAGCAGCCGCGGUAAUACGGAGGGUGCGAGCGUUAAUCGGAAUAACUGGGCGUAAAGGGCACGCAGGCGGUUAUUUAAGUGAGGUGUGAAAGCCCCGGGCUUAACCUGGGAAUUGCAUUUCAGACUGGGUAACUAGAGUACUUUAGGGAGGGGUAGAAUUCCACGUGUAGCGGUGAAAUGCGUAGAGAUGUGGAGGAAUACCGAAGGCGAAGGCAGCCCCUUGGGAAUGUACUGACGCUCAUGUGCGAAAGCGUGGGGAGCAAACAGGAUUAGAUACCCUGGUAGUCCACGCUGUAAACGCUGUCGAUUUGGGGGUUGGGGUUUAACUCUGACGCCCGUAGCUAACGUGAUAAAUCGACCGCCUGGGGAGUACGGCCGCAAGGUUA
This 547-nucleotide ribosomal RNA is filed under the name uncultured bacterium. RNAcentral's name for it is "bacterial SSU rRNA". It matches the Rfam family "Bacterial small subunit ribosomal RNA", at positions 355 to 896 of the family's 1533-position model. The record is from RNAcentral.